Molecule: non-coding RNA, 15931 nt
Organism: Aegilops tauschii subsp. strangulata
Lineage: Eukaryota; Viridiplantae; Streptophyta; Magnoliopsida; Poales; Poaceae
Source: RefSeq, a predicted model, not a curated record
CGCCGCCGCCGUCUCCAAGAACACGGGCAGGGAACUGAAAAACCAAUCCGCCGCCGCCGUCGCCCCCUCAUCCCCGCCUCGUCUCCAGGAGCACUCACGCACGGGUUCGUGUACGAUUCAGAGCGGAGCAGGGGAUCAAUGGAUGUAAGGUUCAACUUCCAAUCCAUCCAGGCCGCCGGCCGGUCCACCUAGGAGAGAGUCCAAGUUGUCCAUGCGAAACCCUAGACGCCGCGGGGAUGGAGCAUCUCCGCCGCCUCGCCCAGUUCUUGCUCGCCUCAGCUCGCGGGGAUGGAGCAGGACGGCGUCGUCCGUCCCCUCGCACCAGGCCCAGGACGACGGCGCCGUGGACGGCUGGGCGCACGACGGCACGGAGCCCCCCUCCCUUACGGCGCCCCGAGGCCGCAGAUCCUCCUCCCCUCCGCGGCCACGUCUCCGCAGCCGCUCGUGCGCGACCCUCAACUACGACUCGGUGGGAGGAGCCCUGCGACGACAUGCUCCCGCGACCACAACCACUGCGUCCGCAAGAAAGCCGCAUGGAUCAAAAGGGGCAAUCUUUGAACAUUUGUAUCAACUAUCGAGGAUCUCAAGUUCACAUGGAGUACACUAUGAUCAAGUGCAUUCUGGUGCUAUGAUGAUUGUGACAGAAGAUAUUAGCUGCAGAAGCAAUCUCUAUGUCUCAGCUCCAAUAUUAAAAAUCAGUGCACCUGAAUUACGACACAAUUUUUCUCAUCUGGAACUGUGCUUAUAAGGUGUUUGGUCUGAAAGCUACACUCCUGAAUACAAUAUGGUAUAAAAGGUUCAUGAAAACAUCAGGAUUUUGACCACCAUAGGAAAUCUGCAAGGGGAACAACAACAAAGGAAACUGGUGUAAGAUUGAGUACUAAGACUUGAAGAUGAGCUACAAUCAAGAUUAUGUCUCGACAAUCAAGUAUAAUGGCGCUAAGUUUGACUUAACCUGCAAAAAGUUAAAUCAGAUUGUAGCACGAACAUAGAGGAAUUUUUUUACCGAACUCACAGAAGUAGAUUGUGUAUCCCAUCCAGCAUUCAACCUAAUGGACAUCCAGGGAACCACUUUGAGUAGGCAAUUGUUUGUGUGGAGGAAAAUGCAUGGUACUACAGCUAACCUUCCUCUGGUCCAGAUGAAAUCAAGGCAACUGGGUCUUCUAUCUUCAAACAUCAAUUUGUUAGUUUUUCCUGGCUUCAGUGCACCCCCUCGUAUUAUUGUGUUUAAACUACAUUGCAGUGUGCUAAUUAUUUCUAAAAAAUUUAUAGUGUAUUAAUUAAGUAAAACUAAUUUGAAGUAGAUGUAGCAUGGCCUUUAGGAUUUUGCACACGGACCACACCAAUUUCGAGUAGUCAUACUUCUACAUAUCUGCUCACCAAAUAGCUGCAUGAUUAUUAUGAGCGUGGUAAACUUUGAAGCUAUUUUCUUUAUUAGUCCUAAAAGAAACUGAACUAUUUGUGUGGGGCCAGAGAAGUAUACUUUCAAUACAAACUUCAAUUGCUUGGGCAAGAGAAAUCAACUCAAUACUGCAAUUUUCCAUAUGUAGUAAGAGGAGGCGUACUAUUGUAAACCGAUGUAGGCUGAAGGCUAGUUGCAUCUUUGGCGUGUGGUCAAACCCGGCAAGCUACAACUAUGUGGAGCAUCCACACUACUGCCACCACAUGCUUGCUAAAACACUUAAUUUGUCCAUCCCUGUACAUUGGCCACAUAUUCGGCGAGCAUGUUUGGUGGCAGGCUCGAGCAACUGCUGUUGUAUUGAGUAUCCAGAUGAUAACUGUCAUGAAAAUCACUACAUGGAUCGAUGUGCCCAUCAUGUCUGGUAGUAGAUAAUGCAUUAUUUGAGCUUGAUAGAGUAUGAUUAUAUCCCACGCGGUCUUGUUUGCAUCGAAAGUGUGGCCCACUUUGGAGAAGAAUACACCCAACCAUUUUGGUAGUGGGCAUCUCAACAGUUAUAUUUGGGCCUCAUUCCCUAAUACACUAGUAAUUGUCUCCUUUCUGGUAUUUCUCUUAGUUUCACUACCAUACUCUUAAUGAUCUGAGAGAGGGAAUGCUAGCAACCAUGGUGGCAAUGCCCCCCCUGCGGCCGUUCAUGCAACUUGAGAGGAUGAAGCCUCUAGUGAUGUUGCGCGAAAGGCAUUGACACCAGUGAGUUUGCCACCAUCCUAGCCGCGCCGACAAUGCGGCAGAGCAAGACGGUCGAGGGAGAUGGCUCAUCAGAAGAAUCCACAACACGCGGACUCACUGGGGAAGCCUCAGGGGACGAGCCAUGUGAGGUAGUCUCAGGUAAUGAACGAGGUGGGAAAGCCACAAGUGAUGAUGAGCUUGAUAAAGAAGCCAUCAGAGGUAGAAGAAACCUCAAUCCCUAGGAAGUAGCGAAGAGGACCAAGAUCAGACAUAAGAAACCCACUAUGAUGAGCCUUCACAAAGGCAAUGUACUUGGAGUCAUCACAGUGAUGAUCGACAUAAAGAAGAGUUUGAGCAUGAGUUGAAAGGUGGACAAGAAGUAUAGGAUCAUGAGCACUCGCCAAAAACUAGUCGCAAUCACCACUGAGAUAAAAUGCUCAAACUAGGCACGAGGGGUUUCCUUAAGGCCAUAAAAGAGCGAUGAAGUCGAGAAACCAUGCCAUCAGGAAGAGAAUACCCCGGUGGUGGCUAUAUGUAGACCUCAUGCAACAGGGAGGAAGAGAAAUGAUAUCCCACAUGCCUAUGCGUGCAAGAGCAACAAUCUCCUCUACAACUGCAUACCGCUAUUCAUGAUGAACAAAUGCGUCAUAAUAAGAAGUCGUCUCGAGAACAGCGGUGGCAGAAUAACCAAUAACCAUAGCGGUCAAUAGGCAGAAGCGAGCGAGCUCGGAAGCCAUAAGUAGGCUGAGCUUUAAGCGGUGCAUUGCCAACAGGAAAGGCCAUAGUAGUCGAGGGAGAUGGCUCAUUAGAAGGAUCCACAACACGUGGACCACAAGUGUAGUGAAGAAGAUGACAAGGGGGAAUCAUCGGGGAAACCUCAUGGAUGAGCGAGGUGGGGAAGCCGCAUGUGGCGACGUGUGGGGUCUAUAACAGUAGUACAGGAGGAUAAGCUGGGAUAGGUGGGCGAGGGCAAUAAAUGAGUGAUAAGUGUAUCAAGAAAAUUGAGGGAAGAAAUAUCCUUAAUGGGGGAGGCCGAAGGAGAGGAUGGACGUGGAUAGAAAGGACGAGACUCAAUCGAAAGUUACAUCUCAAGAUAUGCGCAUCCGACGACUAACAAGAUCCCAACACCGAUGGCCCUUGUGCUCAUCACUGUAACCUAAGAAGACACAUUCAACAGAUUAAUCAAACAGUUUGGUGCGUGAAGAACGUAGCAAACACAACCGAACAAAUGAAGUGUGUUGAGUAGUUAGGAGAAUGCUCAGAAAGACGCUCGAGAGGAAUGUCACCCUGUAGAGUUGAGGAAGGAUGAAUGUUGAUGAGAUAGGUGGCUACGAUCAUCAACGCGCUAGCCGCCUCACGAAGGUGACGAUGCUUGUGCCCAACAACCCCAUUCAAAGAAUGAGCACCAGGACAAGAGAACUGAGCAAGUGCUUUGCUCAACAAGGAAUCCGCGCAACAAAUGGGAGAGAUACACACAAGCACAAUCUGCACGGAAGACACGAAUAGUAGUGGAAAACUGGGUAUGAACCAAGGCGGCAAACUUCUUAUAGAUAGAUAAGACCUCAAUACAAGAAGGCAUAAAAUAUACCGACUUGUGUUGAGAGAAAUAAUUGUAAAGAUGAUAUGGUGGCGAUGGCCUCCUUUCGAGGCAAAGGGAGCUGGGACCCAAACAUCAGAGUGAACAGGAUUGAAAGGACGCUGAGACACAGUCUUGCUAUGAGGAUAUGGUAACUGAACGUGUUUACCCAGCCGACAAACUUGACUGUCUAAAGUUACAUUGCGAGAGACAGAUCCUAGAAGACCACAUCGUUCUAAGGAUGAGAGACGAGAGCCACACAUCUGACUAAGACGAUGAUGCCACAAAGAGUCGGUAGACAAGGUAAGAGAGUCAAAGAAACUGGUGAAUGUGGUAGCGGAGGGAAGGCGAAGCCUGGCAAGCUUUAGAGGCCGUGGGAGUCACAGCGUCGAGGGCCAACACAAAGUAGAGCACUCGUGUGCCGGUCCUAAAUCAGAAAAAGAGUCAAAGUCAAGAAGAUUGGAGUAAUAGAAAUAUUGUUUGUGUUAGGUUAAAUGAUAUAUCGGCUUGGAUUCUAGGUCGGAGUUAAACUUGAGAAUCGGCACUUGGAUUUGUGAUAUUUUGACAUGAGCUUGAAACUGGAGAACUUUAGGGAGCAACAUUAUCAACCUGAGAUGUAUUGGAUUUAUAUAGGUAUAGUAUGAUUAGCAUGAAUGCGGUAUUGGUGGACUAUUGGAUGGUCUUCUAUAUUACUAGUUGGAUUCUAGGUUGGAGAUAACUUAGAGCACUUGGAUUUGUGAUAUUUUAACCUAAGCUUAGUAGCUUGUAUGUGCCCCAUAUGGAUAUGAGCAUGGAGAUGAUACAAACAGAUCGUAGUUGGUAGACUUUGAUGAUUUUGCUAGCCCUCCCAAGAUUGUUACGAGUACAAGAUCAUGGGAGGAUGAUUUGGAUUAAUUAGAAUAGAUGACAAUUUUAGUGGUAUGAGCCUUGUUGGAGCAGCUGAUCUUGCUUUUAUUAUGUGUUUGUGCUCUGUUAGAUGCAAUAGUAGGAGAAGGGUAGUACUUAUGAAGUGAUAUUAUAUUGAUGGUGGAUCUUUCAUAACCUUGGUACGGUUUGGAUUUAUUUAGAUGAUUAUGAUCUUGGAAAAAAAAUCUCCUGGAUAAGUACUUCUAAUUUUGGAAUCUAUAGCAAUCCAGUGAAAGCUUGCGUUAUACUGGACUUAGAUAACCAUGAUAGUGAGCUUGGUUGUAUCAUAGUUAUGAUUUGUAUUAGAUGCACACCUUUAGAGAUUGAAAAAACUGGAGAACUUUAGGGUCUAGUAUGAUCAAUCGAAGAUAUACAACAACAAAGCCUUUAGUCCCAAACAAGUUAGGGUAGGCUAGAGGUGAAACCCAUAAGAUCUCGCGACCAACUCAUGGCUCUGGCACAGGGAUAGCAAGCUUCCACUUACCCCUGUCCAUAGUUAAUUGGAGAUAUAUUGGAUUUAAAUGUGUAAUAUGAUCAGCAUGAUUGUGAAAAUUGAUGGACUAUUACAUCAUCUUGGACUGAAUUAGUAGGAAGAAAACAAAGAUAUUGGGGUAAUAGAAAUGUUGCUUGUGUUAGGUUCAAUGAUACAUCUGCUUGGAUUCUAGGUCGGAGUUAAACUUGAGAUUGGGCACUUGGAAUUGUGAUAUUUUCACAAUAGCUUGAAACUGGAGACUUUAGCAUGAUCAACCUGAGAUAUAUUGAAUUUAUAUAGGUACAGUAUGAUUAGCAUGAAUGCGGUAUUGGUGGACUAUUGGAUCAUCUUGGAUAUUACUAGUUGGAUUCUAGGUUAAAGAUAACUUGAGCACUUUGAUUUGUGAAAUUUUGACCUAAGCUUAGUAGCUUGUAUGUGCCCCAUAUGGAUAUGAGCAUGGAGAUGAUACAAAUGGAUCGUAGUUGGUAGACUUUGAUGAUUUUGCUAGCCCUCCCCAAGAAUGUUACCAGUACAAGAUCAUCAUGGGAGGAUGAUUUGGAUUAAUUAGAAUAGAUGACAAUUUCAGUGGUAUGAGCUUUUAUUAUGUGUUUGUGCUCCUUUAGAUGCAGUAGGAGGAGGAGGGUAGGACUUAUGAAGUGAUAUUAUAUUGAUGGAUAAAUAGAUCUUUAAUAACCAUUGGAACAGUUUGGAUUUACUUAGAUGGUUGUGAUCUUGAAAAAAAAUCUGGUGGAUGAAUAACUUCUACUUUUUGGAUCUAUAGUCAUCCAGUGGAAGCUUUCUUUACACUGGACUUAGAUAACCAUGAUAGUGGGCAUUGUUGGAUCAUAGUUAUGAUUUGUACUAGAUGCACACCUUUACAGAUUGAAACUAGAGAACUUCAAGGUGUAGUAUGAUCAAUCGGAGAUAUAUUGGAUUAGAGAUAUAUUGGAUUAUAUGAAUAUAAUAUGAUCAGCAUGAUUGUGAAAAUUGAUGGAAGAAAACAAAGAUAUUGGAGUAAUAGAAAUGUUGUUUGUGUUAGGUUCAAUGAUAUAUCUGCUUGGAUUCUAGGUCGGAGUUAAACUUGAGGUUGGGCACUUGGAUUUGUGAUAUUUUGACAUGAGCUUGAAUCUGGAGAACUUUAGGGUGUAACAUGAUCAACCUUAGAUGUAUUGGAUUUAUAUAGGUAAAGUAUGAUUAGCAUGAAUGCGGUAUUGGUGGACUAUUGGAUGAUCUUGGAUAUUACUAGUUGGAUUUUAGGUUCGAGAUAACAUGAGCACCUAGAUUUGUGAUAUUUUGACCUAAGCUUUAGUAGCUUGUAUGUGCCCCAUAUGGAUAUGAGCAUGGAGAUGAUACAAACGGAUUGUAGUUGGUAUACUUUGAUGAUUUCGCUAGCCCUCCCUAAGAAUGUUACGAGUACCAGAUCAUCAUGGGAGCAUGGUUUGGAUUAAUUAGAAAUAUGAUAAUUUCAGUGGUAUGAGCCUUGUUGGAGCAGAUGAUCUUGCUUUUAUUAUGUGUCUGUGCUCCUUUACAUGUAGUAGUAGGAGGAUAGUAAUUAUGACAUGAUAUUAUAUUGGUGGAUAAAUACUUCUUUAAUAACCUUGGAACUGUUUGGAUUUACUUAGAUGAUUAUGAUCUUGAAAACAAAUCUGGUUGAUAAAUAACUUCUAAGUUUUGGAUCUAUAUUAAUCCAGUGGAGGCUGAGGUAGUUGCAGAGGAGCGAUGAGAAAGCACAUGAGAAGCUUUACUCGAUCGCUUGAAGAUCGACAUUGCCGUAAUGGCUUGGGGCAAAGCCCGAUGCGGCUGACAGGGUUUUCACCCUCUCCCACACCUCUCGUGCAUUCUUCAUUUCCCGCCAAUUCGGCUUGGUGUCCUUCCCUUGUUUGCGGGUUCCGGGCCACUGACUUGAUCUGGCAUCACACGUUCUCCCACCGUGCGUCCUUGGCCUUGGCGGUAGGUAACGUCGUGCUCUCGGGCUGUGUCUCGUGGGUUAGCCAUUGCGGUGCCGACUGCCUGUGUGGCUAUGGCGGCGCCAGCCGGGAAACACGAGAUGUCAAAUUGAGGCAUCGCACAUAGCACCCCGAAGCUAGGCAAAGGAUGCCGGUCGGACUGGCAGUGAGCGGAUUGCACAUGAGGUAUGGUGGAAGGGAUGAAAACGGUUGUUUGGAGUGGACUGUCAUUGCCGUCAUUCAUUGUACUUGGAGCCAUGCGUCGAGGGGAUGGCGAUUGGGGAAGGUUGGCAGAUGGUUAGAUCAUAGUUACGAUUACUACUAGAUUCACACCUUUAGAGAUUGAAACCGGAGAACUUUAGGGUGUAGUAUGAUCAUGAUUGUGAAAAUUGAUCGACUAUUACAUCAUGUUGGAAUGAAAUAGUAGGAAGAGAACUUUAUGGAAAUGUUGUAUGUGUUUGGUUCAAUGAUAUAUUUGCUUGGAUUCUAGGUUGGAGUUAAACUUGAGAUUGGGCACUUGGAUUAGUGUUAUUUUGACAUGAGCUUUAAACUGGAGAACUUUAGGGUGUAGCAUGAUCAACCUGAGAUAUAUUGAAUUUAUAUAGGUAUAGUAUGAUUAGCAUGAAUGCGGUAUUGGUGGACUAUUGGAUCAUCUUGGAUAUUACUAAUUGGAUUCUAGGUUAGAGAUAACUUGAGCACUUGGAUUUUUGAUAUUUUGACCUAAGCAUAGUAGCUUCUAUGUGCCCUAUAUGGAUAUGUGCAUGGAGAUGAUACAAAUGGAUCGUAGUUGGUAGACUUUAAUGAUUUUGCUAGCCCUCCCCAAGAAUGUUACGAGUACAAGAUCAUGGGAGGAUGAUUUGGAUUAAUUAGAAUAGAUGACAAUUUGAGGGUGUAGUAUGAUCAAUCGGAGAUAUAUUGGAUUUGUAUGAGUAUAAUAUGAUCAACAAGAUUGUGAAAAUUGAUGGACUAUUACAUCAUCUUGGAUUGAAAUGGUAGAAAGAAAACAAAGAUAUUGGAGUAAUAGAAAUGCUGUUCAAUGAUAUGCUUGGGUUCUAGGUCGGAGUUAAACUUGAGAUUCGACACUUGGAUUUGUGAUAUUUUCACAUGAGCUUGAAACUGGAGAACGUUAUGAUGUAGCCUGGUCAACCUGAGAUAUUUUGGAUGUAUAUAGAUGUAGUAUGAUUAGCAUGAAUGUGGUAUCGGUGGACUAUUGUAACAUCUUCGAUAUUACUAGUUGGAUUCUAGGUUGGAGAUAACUUGAGCACUUGGAUUUGUGAUAUUUUGACCUAAGCUUAGUAGCUUGUAUGUGCCCCAUAUGGAUAUGAGCAUGGAGAUGAUACAAACGGAUUGUAGUUGGUAUACUUUGAUGAUUUUGCUAGCCCUCCCCAAGAAUGUUACGAGUACAAGAUUAUCAUGGGAGGAUGGUUUGGAUUAAUUAGAAUAGAUGACAAUUUCAGUGGUAUGAGCCUUGUUGGAGCAGUUGAUCUUGCUUUUAUUAUGUGUUUGUGCUCCUUUAGAUGUAGUAGUAGUAGGAGGAUAGUAGUUAUGACGUGAUAUUAUAUUGGUGGAUAAAUACUUCUUUAAUAACCUUGGAACUGUUUGUAUUUACUUAGAUGAUUGUGAUCUUGAAAACAAAUCUGGUGGAUAAAUAACUUCUAAGUUUUGGAUCUAUAGUAAUCCAGUGGAGGCUGAGGUAGUUGCAAAGGAGCGAUGAGAAAGCACAUGAGAAGCUUUUACUCGAUCGCCUGAAGAUCGACAUUGCCGCAAUGGUUUCAUGCAUAGCCCGAUGCGGCUGACAGGGUUUUCACCCUCUCCCACACCUCUCGUGCAUUCUUCAUUUCCCGCCAAUUCAGCUUGGUGUCCUUCCCUUGUUUGCGGGUUUCGGGCCACUGACUUGAUCCGGCAUCACACGUUCUCCCACCGUGCGUCCUUGGCCUUGGUGGUAGGUAAUGUCGUGCUCUCGGGCUGUGUCUCGUGGGUUAGCCAUUGCGGUGCCGACUGCCUGUGUGGCUAUGGCGGCGUCAGCCGGGAAACACGAGAUGUCGGAUUGAGGCAUCGCACAUAGGACCCCGAAGCUAGGCAAAGGAUGCCGGUCGGACUGGCAGUGAGCGGAUUGCACAUGAGGUAUGACGGAGGGGAUGAAAACGGUUGUUUGGAGUGGACUGUCAUUGCCGUCAUUCAUUGUACUUGGAGCCAAGUGUCGAGGGGAUGGCGAUUAGGGAAGGUGGGCAGAUGGUUGGAUCACAGUUAUGAUUACUACUCGAUUCACACCUUUAGAGAUUGAAACUGAAGAACUCUAGGGUGUAGUAUGAUCAAUCGAAGAUAUAUUGGAUUUAUAUGAGUGUAAUAUGAUUAGCAUGAUUGUGAAAAUUGAUCGAUUAUUACAUCAUCUUGGAAUGAAAUAGUAGGAAGAAAACAAAGAUAUUGGAGUUAUAGAAAUGUUUUAUGUGUUUGGUUCAAUGAUAUAUCUGCUUGGAUUCUAGGUCGGAGUUAAACUUGAGAUUGGGCACUUGGAUUUGUUUUCACAUGAGCUUGAAACUCGAGAACUUUAGGGUGUAGGAUGAUCAACCUGAGAUAUAUUGGAUUUAUGUAGGCAUAGUAUGAUUAGCAUGAAUGUGGUAUUGGUGGACUAUUGGAUCAUCUUGGAUAUUACUAGUUGGAUUCUAGGUUGGUAAUAACUUGAGCACUUGGAUAUGUGAUAUUUUGACUUAAGCUUAGUAGCUUGUAUGUGCCCCAUGUGGACAUGAGCAUGAAGAUGAUACAAAACAGUUUGUAGUUGGUAGACUGAUGAUUUUGCUAGCCCUCCCCCAGAAAUGAGUACAAGAUCAUGGGAGGAUGAUGUGGAUUAAUUAGAUGACAAUUUCGGUGGUAUGAGCAUUGUUGGAGCAGCUGAUCUUGCUUUUAUUAUGUGUUUGUUCUCCUUUAGAUGCAGUAGGAGGAGGAGGGUAUCACUUAUGAAGUGAUAAUAUAUUGGUGAAUAAAUAGAUUUUUAAUAACCUUGGAACAAUGUGGAUUUACUUAUGUGAUUGUGAUCUUGAAAAAAAUGGUGGAUAAAUAACUCUUAAUUUUUGGAUCUAUUGUAAUCUAGUGGAAGCUUGCUUUAUACUGGACUUAGAUAACGAUGAUAGUGGGCUUUGUUGGAUCAUAGUUAUGAUUUGUACUGCACCUUUAGAGAUUGAAACUAGAGAACUUCAGGGUGUAGUAUAAUGAAUCGAAGAUAUAUUGGAUUUAUACGAGUGUAAUAUGAUCAACAUGAUUGUGAAUAUCGAUGGACUAUUACAUCAUCUUGGAUUCUAGGUCGGAGUUAAACUUGAGAUUGGACACUUGGAUUUGUGAUAUUUUGAUAUGAGCUUGGAACUGGAGUACUUUAGGGUGUAGCAUGAUCAACCUGAGACGUAUUGGAUUUAUGAUUAGGAAGAACUUGGUAUUUGUGGACUAUUAGAUGAUCUUGGAAAUUACUAGUUGGAUUCUAGGUUGGAGAUAACUUGAGCACUUGGAUAUGUGAUAUUUUUACCUAAGCUUAGUAGCUUGUAUGUGCCCCAUGUGGAGAUGAUAGAAAUGGAUCGUAGUUGGUAGACUUUGAUGAUUUUGCUAGCCCUCCCUAAGAAUGUUACGAGUACAAGAUCAUCAUGGGAGGAUAAUUUGAAUUAAUUUGAAUAGAUGACAUUUUCAGUGGUACGAGCCUUGUUGGAGCAGCUGAUUUUGCCUUUAUUAUGUGUUUGUGCUCCUUUAGAUGCAGUAGUAGGAGGAUGGUAGUACUUAUGAAUAUUGGUGGAUAAAUAGAUCUUUAAUAACCUUGGAACAAUUUGGAUUUACUUUGGUGAUUGUGAUCUUGAAAAAAUCUGAUGGAUAAAUAACUUCUAAUAUUUGGAUCUAUACUCAUCCAGUGGAAGCUUGCUUUAUACUGAACUUAGAUAACCAUGAUAGUGGGCUUGGUUGGAUCAUAGUUAUGAUUUAUACUAGAUUCACUCCUUUAGAGAUUGAAACUGGAGAACUGUAGUGUGUAUUAUGAUCAAUCGAAGUUAUAUUGGAUUUAAUUAGUAGGAAGAAAACAAUAGAUCCAAAAAUUAGAAGUUAUUUAUCCACCAUUUUGGAAAUCCUACAAAGAACUGUAGUGUGUAUUAUGUGUUAGGUUAGGUUCAAUCACAGUUCUUUGUGAAAAUCGAUGGACUAUUAUUACAUCAUCUUGGAUUUAAUUAGUAGGAAGAAAACAAAGAUAUUGGAAUAAUAGAAAUGUUUUUUGUGUUAGGUUCAAUGAUAUAUCUACUUGAAUUCUAGGUCGGAGUUAAACUUGAGAUUUGGCACUUGGAUUUGUGAUAUUUUGACAUGAGCUUGAAACCAGAGAACUUUAGGGUGUAGCAUGAUCAUCCUGAAUUAGCAUGAAUGUGGUAUUGGUGGACUAUUGGAUCAUGUUGGAUAUUACUAGCUGGAUCCUAGGUUGGAGAUAACUUGAGCACUUGGAUUUGUGAUAUUUUGACCUAAGCUUAGUAGCUUCUAUGUGCCCCAUAUGGAUAUGAGCAUGGAGAUGAUACAAAUGGAUCGUAGUUGGUAGACUUUGAUGAUUUUGAUAGCCCUCCCUAAGAAUGGGAGGAUGAUUUGGAUUAAUUAGAACAGAUGGAAAUUUAUGUGGUAUGUGUGCCUUGUUGGAGCAGCUGAUCGCGUUUUUAUUAUGUGUUUGUGCUCAUUUAGAUGCAGUAGUAGCAGUAGGAUAGUACUUAUGCAAAGAUGAAUCCAAGGGCGAAGGUUUGGACUUGCUAAUUUCAAUCAUUACAGUUCAUUAGUUUUUUUUCACAAAUCUUAUUGGAUGAUGUUUUGUUGUUGACUGAAGUUUUUUGGUCCCUCUGAAUCUUCGGAUGAUCGCAAAUUCUUGACCCCUCUUGAUUUAACUUUUUCGCUUGCUCAGUACAGUAAUUUAGUCUCCAAAGAUUCUGAUUUGGAUUAUUAUUAUUAUUGGUCGUUUCCCUAAAAUAUGGGAUUAUAUGGUUAGGGGCAGGGGUGACUUAUCUUCUUGAUGAUCUGUGUUUGGAUGAUCAUUAUUUUCUCUAGUUUAAUUUCCUCCUCUCCACAUGGGGGUUAUGCGGCUUAGCGGGGGCACCUAUCGUCUCGGUGAUCUAUGUUUGGAGAUCAUUACUCUUUCCAUUUAAUCUCCUCCUCUCCACUGUUUAAUUUAUAGUCCUCGACAAUUCUGAUUCGGAUUUGUUGGUGGUUCUCCAGAAGUUGGAAUUAUACGGCCUUGCAGGUGGUCCUAUUUUGCUUCUGCAGUUCUCAGCUUUGGUCCUAUCACCGAGACGAUAGGUGCCCCCGCUAAGCCGCAUAAUCCCCAGUUUCUGGAAAACCACCAAUAAAUGCAAAUUAUAAUUGUGAGAUUAAAGAUGAGUUAAGCUCACAUGGAACGUAUGCCCUGUUGCAGCCUCGCAGGUACCCACAGUUGUCUCUCUCUCUUUUGAUUUGAUCCCCACAGAUUCUCAGCUUUAUUUCUGUGGAUUCUGUUUUAUCUAUGCUUGCUAUGUGUUUGACAAAAAUCCAAGGAGGCUGAGGCGAAGAUUUUGUGCUUAGGUUUUUACUCAAGUAUUUCAUCUUUUUCUGAAAUUUAGCUCCAAUGAACUGAAUUGUUUUUGGGCAUCCCUUUUUCCUCUGCAGGUCAUUAUCAUCUCAUCUCACCACACUCAUGCCACAUAACCUGGCAAGCUCAUUCCUUACUCAUUCUAUGUGCCAGUUUUGUAGCUUUAUUACUGAACUGAGAGAUGAUGUUUGCGCAGUUAGAUGCUGCUUGCUCUAUUUUGACUAUGUUGGCUGCAAUAAUCAAUCUAUUUGAUAUGGGCCCUAAAGCUCUUUUGUUGAUCUUUGGUUACAAAUCCUGGAGCUGUUCUUGAUGUAUUGAGACAUUUGUUAGAACCCAUUAUCACCUUUUUUGGCUGUGGUUCAUCUUUGCCAUACGAUGUGUUAGUAAGCUGACUGAGAAUGUUAGAUAAUCUUAUAUGGAUUUCGAUCUUGCAGCUGCAGCCGCGCGCUGUAUGUGGCGGGGGGUUACGGUUACUUCUGUGCAGUAAUACCAUUUUGGAGUGUCCCGUGUUUGCAACUAUCCUUAUGUGCAGCCCCUGCAACAAGGCAUCAGAGAAAAUUAAAGGGACAAACAAAUUUUGCGUCUGAUGUGUUGUUCAGACGUUCAGGAGAAGUGGAGAAGAGGGUUCCUCGAGGCUCCAUCCAUGAAUGGUGUGGGUCCAAUGCCUUAGGGUGGCAUGCGGUAAUGUUGGGGACCAGCGAGGAAGAUGGCUGGUAUACAUUCUUUGAAAUAAAGCUGAAUUCUUUCCAACAAUCAGUGGCACAAAGAGAUGAUUUAUAUGUCAUCCUGCAUUCUUUAACGAUUCCGGACAUAGGAACGAUGAGCUGUAUCCACGGCUCCUCUUCCAAACCAAUAUCGCAAUGGAUCUAUCUUCAGCGCUUUUAUUCAAUUUCCGAGGCACUCCCCUUUGUUCAGGGUGAGGAACCUAGGAAGCAGGCCAGCGCUGUAGCAUACAUCAAAUGCAGCUUGGAGACACAUCAGAAUGCCAUGGUUGUCUUCGGCACUGCCUUCAAAGGGGUCCUUCAGCCUCCAAGGAGAAGGGAACUGAUGGCUGCCAGGGAAACUAGGUGAAACUCUGGAUGCUCGAGACAGAUCAGAUGGUUAAUUUUUUUAUGGUGGCCACGGCUACUUCCAGUGUCUGCUAAAGAGCAGGGCCAGCAAUAGGCCUUUAGAAUACAUGCAAGCAAAUUAUCUCCAGGUGACUUAUUAGGAUGCAUAUGGUACUUUUCAGCCAUGGCAAAUGCACAGGUUUAGCUGCAUCUUGAUGAGAGGAUCGAUGAUUUAUUAUGGUAGACAUGGAACUAAGAUUUAGUAAAAAAAAAAUGAUGAUACGAUAGGUGACUUAUGAUGUGCUAUUUUAGAUAACAAUACUAAGCUUUUAUUCCAUAGAUGACAUUUGGUUGUUCUGCAUUUUUUUUCUUUUGCAAAGAUAGAUGUUAUAAGAGACAAACAUCAUGUACAGGUUAACUUUUUGUGUGCCUAUUAGCAUGCCUUGCUGCCAACUGGAAGUAGUCUAUAUGAUGCUCAUAAAUAGAGCUUCCCGGUGGGAAGGAUGAGGCACACUCAUUGAUACUUUGGUUUUAUAUCCAUUUGUGAUACGGUUUUUCUCUUCUAAGCAUAUGAACUUUAGCAAAUUAGACUGUGCAAUCAAGUCUCCUAAGUGAACAGUUACCAUAUUAUCAAGUUUGAGAGCAUAUAAGAUAAGAGCAUGUCAUGCUACGUGAAAAUCUGUUUGAAGAUCUAAUUUCGUAUUUUUCUAUUUUGUCGGUUAGAAAACCAGUUUCCUGAGUUGUUAGUCUGAGUAUUCAAAUUGAUCCGCAGAGUUCAGGGCUUCUGGAUGGAAGAGUUUUCUACAACCUCAAAAUCUUAGUACUCUCUACCUAGACUUCAUAAUUAUGCCUCACUUCUUCUGAAGAUUUUUUGAAGUAUGCCUUUUAUUUGGGUUGUUCGUGCAUUUGCAGUGUUGGAGGUGUUAGUACAAGAUUGUAGAGUUGGAAAGUAUAGCAAAACGUCAGUUGGUGCAGGGACUUGGUGAAGCCAUCAGGCUCGACUGUGUCUGCUUCCCUGAUGGUUUUGACUUCUGAUUAGUGAUUUUGAUGCAUAUUACUUGAUGAUUUGGUCUUUGUGGCAGCUUUCAGUUUGAACUGGCAUUCAGUGGCUUCAUCCUCUUUGGUGCAACUUGGAGUUAGUGUGUACAUCUGAAUCUUUUGAUUUUCCUGAAGCAUAUUACUUGGUUUAUGGUGUCUGCUAACUUGCAUGCAAUUUGAUGGAAUCUGAUCUCAGUUUUGCUCCCAGUGAAUAUACAAAAGGCUAGAAGUAAAUGGUGGAAGAUCCUUUGGUCUCAAACGAGGUUCCUACUUUCGUACUCAAAGUUUGUACAGUAGGUAAUCAAAUUUUGGCCUUUAGCUUGCAAAUUUAUCACCUUACAGGAGAAGUAAAGGUUGCAUGUACAUGAGCUCUAAUUAUCUCCAUAUAUACUUGAAUUGCUUUGGGUUCAUGCUUGGAUUUGUCGGACUACCAUUCUACAUACUAUUCUCGAUGAUUGCACUUGGUUUGUUAAUUUUCCUGGUGAGUUCUUCAGCCUCAUCUUAUGCCACAAAAAUUAGUUUUUGGCAUGCGCAGACUUUGAAAUUUGGUGAUAAAGAAAGAUCACGUGCUGGCUCUCUUAUUUAUUACUGUGUUGACACUUAACAGUAGUGGGCUCCUGACUUUGUAGUUGGAUAGUGUUGAUGGCUCGAUAUGCCGAGAGAGGUUAGGAAUUGUUGCUAUGAACUAAAAUAAUGCAGAAUUGAAGGUUCUGAACUUGAAACUUGAACAAACAGUUUGCCUUGAAUACUCUACCUUUCUCAUGUCUUCAAUUUAGUGUCAUCUUCACUAAAUAUGAUUCUGGUUUGUUGGUUGUGGACUUGAAUUUUCAGAAGUGAACGUUCUUCACAUUGGUGCUUCUUCAGUGGGAUCUGGAUCAGGGAAUCUUCAAUUGCAUCUGCUUGGUUGCUGGGGAACUUACUAGUUUUAAUUUGAUUGACAACUAGCAAAACAAUCAGGCUAAUUUGAUGAUUAAUUCCUGCUGAUUGUACACUUUCAACUCAAGUUACAUUGCAACAUAUGCCUGUUUGUUCGUGCUUCACCCAUCCUGAAUUUUAAGAUGCUUUGUCAUGCAUCUUAUGGUCUUCUGGCUGUUCAUUGGCUAAUUUGAUCAGUGUUAACUGUGGAAUCUGGAUUACGGAGUCUUCAGCUACAUAGUUUGAUGGGGAACUUCAUAGUUUUAAUUUAGUUUACAGCUAAAACUACUCUCGUUUGAUAAUACCAUCCGAAAUGACAUGCUGGAUGUAGAUUUGUU